RNAcentral lists this long non-coding RNA (1058 nucleotides) under Junco hyemalis (dark-eyed junco). RNAcentral's name for it is "lncRNA (ENSJHYG00000007096.1)". The record is from RNAcentral. Lineage: Eukaryota; Metazoa; Chordata; Aves; Passeriformes; Passerellidae.
GGAGAGCAGGACUUCAGCUGCACCUGCAGAAACCCCCAUGCACAGCCACACCUACGCAGCUUUUCACUGCACGAUGGAUGGGAUGGAGCUGCAAAACCCAUGACCUGUUGUCUUUGGGGGCCAGACACAAACAUGGGAGGCAGAGUCUGCAGAGAUGAAGACAGAAAACUCUGCAAAUCCAGUUGUAAAGGACUGCUUGAAAGCUGAACUACAGUCUGCUCACCAAGUGGCAGCACAGCUUUCUUCCGGCAUCCUAGAAAAAAGCAGCAGAAAAUCUCAGGCCAAGCAUCAUAUGAGGUAAGAGAAUCUAUCUGACAUAAUUUCUUUCUUAGAAACUUUCAGUGUUGAAAGUCUUCAGACUUUGGCUUUUCACCAAAAUCCACAAUCCCUACCACAAAAUUAGAAGAUAUCUAAAGAAGAGGUCCCUUUCCAGGAAUGACACAAACAGAAAUGAAUACAGUGAGAGGAAAAAAUCUCCCACUGGUCAGGAUAAAUUAGACAGAAUAUUUCCCUUUUAAACUUAUGGAGCGCUAGGAAUUUGAUCUUAAAGAAAUUAUUAUUUUCCAAUUAAAAUUCUCAGACCUGAGUUCUGCUCUUCCCACUACUUAUUAUUUUCCUGAAGUCAUAUUUUUCAUAUUUUUGCUUGGUUUCUUUGAUACUGAACAAGAUGAAACCAGAAGUCUGAAGAGGAGAAAAAAACUAAGACACUUAUCUCUAAAGUCCUUUUCCCAUUUCUGCACGUAGCAAAUUUAGUAAUUUACCAAAACUGCUGUAAAUACAACAUUUUUUACCCAGGCAAAUUCUAGCAAUGUUGACCAUCAUUCUCUUUGGCUGAAUUCUACCAUAUUGUUUUAGACCACUGAAUAUAAAAGAAUCUGUUCCUGUAAAAAAACAUGUUGCAGCUUCAGUUCACAUUUCCAGCUCAUUUGCUUGUGGCUUUCACAGAGAGAGCUGUUUUUCUAUUCUUUGGUUAAGUUUAUUAUGCUGUGGGCAGAACAUCAAAGAGGAGUGCUGGACUGAGCUGUAGAGUGAGCCACGAGGGGCACACUGGUACACUG